UGUCAUGACACACACAUUAAGAAGCAUUAA
This 30-nucleotide non-coding RNA is filed under the name Mus musculus (house mouse). The record is from RNAcentral. Lineage: Eukaryota; Metazoa; Chordata; Mammalia; Rodentia; Muridae.